CUUCCUGAUGUACUCGCCUAUUCCUGGCACAAAUUUUUCAACCAACAAAAGUCGAAUAAUUCAGUUAAAAAGCCUAUUUACUUUUCAUUUAUUAGUUUGUUUGCAAAAGAUGUCUGAAUUCUUGAGGAAACAUAUUGCAUCUGAAUGUAAUGGUGGCUUUUGCAGAUGACUUGCGCAGGAAAACAGUCAAAAUUACUUUGAAUGUGCUUAAUCC
RNAcentral lists this long non-coding RNA (214 nucleotides) under Lathyrus oleraceus (garden pea). Its description in RNAcentral is "Pisum sativum (pea) long non-coding RNA (PSAT_LNC035593)". The record is from RNAcentral. Lineage: Eukaryota; Viridiplantae; Streptophyta; Magnoliopsida; Fabales; Fabaceae.